Molecule: small nuclear RNA, 186 nt
Organism: Pipistrellus kuhlii (Kuhl's pipistrelle)
Lineage: Eukaryota; Metazoa; Chordata; Mammalia; Chiroptera; Vespertilionidae
Product: U2 spliceosomal RNA
Exons: 1
Source: RefSeq, a predicted model, not a curated record
AUUGCUUCUUGACUUUUUGGCUAAGAUCAAACGCAGGCAUUGUUUUAAUCAGUUUAACAUCUAAUACAUCCUCUAUCUGUGGGCAACAUAUUGGAUGGAUUUUUGGAACAGGGAGAUGGAAUAGGAGCUUGCUACGUCAAUAAGUUUCUCUUCUUACACACUACUUCUAGACCAUGGUUCUUCUCC